GCAGUGGUGGCCGGGUGGUUAAGGUGUUGGACUUGAAAUCCAAUGGGGUCUCCCUGCGCAGGUUUGAACCCUGCUCAUUGUA
This 82-nucleotide transfer RNA is filed under the name Chrysemys picta bellii (western painted turtle). RNAcentral describes it as "tRNA-Ser (TGA) (tRNA-Ser-TGA-7-1)". It matches the Rfam family "tRNA". Rfam says of the family: Transfer RNA (tRNA) molecules are approximately 80 nucleotides in length. Their secondary structure includes four short double-helical elements and three loops (D, anti-codon, and T loops). Further hydrogen bonds mediate the characteristic L-shaped molecular structure. tRNAs have two regions of fundamental functional importance: the anti-codon, which is responsible for specific mRNA codon recognition, and the 3' end, to which the tRNAs corresponding amino acid is attached (by aminoacyl-tRNA synthetases). tRNAs cope with the degeneracy of the genetic code in two manners: having more than one tRNA (with a specific anti-codon) for a particular amino acid; and 'wobble' base-pairing, i.e. permitting non-standard base-pairing at the 3rd anti-codon position. Lineage: Eukaryota; Metazoa; Chordata; Testudines; Emydidae. The record is from Rfam by way of RNAcentral.